Molecule: ribosomal RNA, 443 nt
Filed under: uncultured bacterium
Lineage: Bacteria
Description: partial 16S ribosomal RNA
Rfam family: Bacterial small subunit ribosomal RNA
Source: RNAcentral
CCUACGGGUGGCAGCAGUGGGGAAUAUUGGGCAAUGGGCGCAAGCCUGACCCAGCAACGCCGCGUGAAGGAAGAAGGCUUUCGGGUUGUAAACUUCUUUUCUCAGGGACGAAGCAAGUGAUGGUACCUGAGGAAUAAGCCACGGCUAACUACGUGCCAGCAGCCGCGGUAAUACGUAGGUGGCAAGCGUUAUCCGGAUUUACUGGGUGUAAAGGGCGUGUAGGCGGGACUGCAAGUCAGAUGUGAAAACCACGGGCGCAACCUGUGGCCUGCAUUUGAAACUGUAGUUCUUGAGUACUGGAGAGGCAGACGGAAUUCCUAGUGUAGCGGUGAAAUGCGUAGAUAUUAGGAGGAACACCAGUGGCGAAGGCAGCUUACUAAACGGCCACUGACAUUGAUGCUCGAAAGUGUGGGUAUCAAACAGGAUUAGAUACCCUUGUAGUC